This 470-nucleotide ribosomal RNA is filed under the name uncultured bacterium. Its description in RNAcentral is "bacterial SSU rRNA". It matches the Rfam family "Bacterial small subunit ribosomal RNA", at positions 8 to 526 of the family's 1533-position model. The record is from RNAcentral.
AGAGUUUGAUCAUGGCUCAGAACGAACGCUGGCGGCAGGCUUAACACAUGCAAGUCGAGCGCCCCGCAAGGGGAGCGGCAGACGGGUGAGUAACGCGUGGGAAUCUACCGAGCCCUGCGGAAUAGCUCCGGGAAACUGGAAUUAAUACCGCAUACGCCCUACGGGGGAAAGAUUUAUCGGGGUUUGAUGAGCCCGCGUUGGAUUAGCUAGUUGGUGGGGUAAAGGCCUACCAAGGCGACGAUCCAUAGCUGGUCUGAGAGGAUGAUCAGCCACAUUGGGACUGAGACACGGCCCAAACUCCUACGGGAGGCAGCAGUGGGGAAUAUUGGACAAUGGGCGCAAGCCUGAUCCAGCCAUGCCGCGUGAGUGAUGAAGGCCCUAGGGUUGUAAAGCUCUUUCAACGGUGAAGAUAAUGACGGUAACCGUAGAAGAAGCCCCGGCUAACUUCGUGCCAGCAGCCGCGGUAAUUC